ACGCUCGACACCUACGGGAGGCAGCAGUGGGGAAUAUUGCACAAUGGGGAAACCCUGAUGCAGCGACGCCGCGUGGAGGAAGAAGGUCUUCGGAUUGUAAACUCCUGUUGUUGGGGAAAAAGAGGAUGGUACCCAACAAGGAAGUGACGGCUAACUACGUGCAGCAGCCGCGGUAAUCUGAGCGGGCUGGCAAGGC
This 196-nucleotide ribosomal RNA is filed under the name uncultured bacterium. Its description in RNAcentral is "partial 16S ribosomal RNA". It matches the Rfam family "Bacterial small subunit ribosomal RNA", at positions 328 to 539 of the family's 1533-position model. The record is from RNAcentral.